UGUGUAGUUGGGUGUUGUGCCAUAUACUGUCAAAGAAAAGGAACUGAAAACUGUUGACUGGUGGGCAGAAACAGUGAUUAUAAUGACUUAUUUGACUCAAUUUUGACCGGCUGUUUUUGUCAUUUUAACCCUAAAGGCAACUGUUUAUUUUGAUGUGGGCUUAAAAGGUUUUUUGGUGGGGGACAGAAAGACAGCGUAAUUUACCCAGCUUACCUGCAGCAAUGCCGUCCUCAUCCUCUCUGACAGGAAGUAAUGGCAGGAUAUGACAUAACAGACAGCUCACCCUUGAGCAGAGGUGAAAAAAAGCUUUCUACAAUCCCUGUUUUUUUCCUUGCCAGCACUUUCUAUUUGCUUUCUCUCACUUCCUCAUUUCCUACCCACACAGCUUCUGACUUUAAAUGAGAAUGCAUGCCAUAAAGUGAACUCCUGGGAUAGUGAUAUGUCUUCAUGCCAUUAUAGAAAUGUGCUUUUCACCUGAUCUGAUCUGACUUCUUUACAGAAUCUGUCCAUCUAGAGGUGCAUUUGCUGCUUUUGAAAGGAGGACGUUUCACUUGGAUUCGAUCUGGUUGAGCAGGUAGUUUCAAGACAGUAUGGAGUACUUUUCUGCUUGCCAUCACUCCAGGUUUACAGGAGAAAGCACUCAUGCUGUCUGACUGCUGUUUCUGCUUUCAAUUUAACAGAUCUGUCUGCUGCACUCACCUGGUCCCUGCCCGCCAGGUGCAUGCUGGGUAGGGGCACCACAGCUCUUCAUGAGCCAAAAAGCAGCACUAAUGGCAAGAGAACUUUGCCGUCACCAACAGGGACACAAGGGACUUUUAAUACCACCAUCACCCGUCCUUUAUUCUUUCAGUCCCUUCCAUUCCCUUGCUUCAGGGUUUUCUACAUUGCUGGACACAGAGGUUCACAGAGAGCCUACGCUGCUGAUGUGAAAACCGAGGGAAUUAGCUGCAAACCUCCACCGCCCACAGAACAAGGACACGAUGAACACGGCAAAUGGAUCUCCACAUGGUAAGUGUAAGAGGAAGGAAAACAUUCACAGCGGCUCAUGAGGGGACGGGAUUGAACUGUGACGGAGACACUGACACGACACGCAGAUGGGACAAUCUCUCGAGGGUCUUGCUCAUGUUCUGAGUCACCAAUCUGCUGCAGGUACUAAAAUGUUUAUGGAUGUGUAAAUAUGAAUGUGUAGGUAUUCUGUAGGUUGUACAAAAUUGAAGUGGAAAUCUGUGAAGAGAGUCGUUCUUCUUUCUCUCAUCUUACUCACUGAAAUCUUGUUUGUCGGUGAUAAGAUCAGCCCUCUCCUCUUCUUCAUGUGUUUUCCAUAGAUGAGCCACGUGUGGUGAAUAUAGAUACCACAGCGCCA
This is a long non-coding RNA of Cyprinus carpio (common carp), 1363 nucleotides long. Lineage: Eukaryota; Metazoa; Chordata; Actinopteri; Cypriniformes; Cyprinidae. The record is from Ensembl.